Cinara cedri is the source of this 273-nucleotide non-coding RNA. Lineage: Eukaryota; Metazoa; Arthropoda; Insecta; Hemiptera; Aphididae. The record is from the annotation of a GenBank genome assembly.
AAGAGCUGAUAAUUUGUGUUUCAUUGUUUUGAAUGUACGUUGGAUGUUGAGGAGGGAGAAUGUGUGAUACAUAAAGUUGUUUGAUUUAAUCUGUACGCAACGAUACACCAUUGCUGGUGAAAAGCAAUUCCGAGCGAAGUUCAGUUACGCAUGUUUUGAAAUGUUGUAAGUCAAAUUCGAUCUAUUCAAAUAUUUAUAUAUGUGUAUAAAGAAAAAGAUCUUUUCUGAUCACGUCACACCGCUCUAUACUGUGCUAGUAAUGAUGUAUGACUG